AUGCUGCCUUAUCUUGCUGAUGGUUUCAUGGACAAUAAAAGGAAAGAAGGUUACAAAAUGGACAUUACCCAGAUGUCAGGCUUGAAGCUUCAUAAAGUAACUGAACAGAAUUUGGAAAACAAUGGAGAGGAUACAGUGGAGGAUUCAGAGGUUGUAGAAGAUGGUGGAGUCUCUGGAUGGAAGGAAGCUGGGUCUCUGAAUCACAAAGUGAAAGACCACUCACCACACGCCUUAUUGGACAAUGACAUGAAUGAGAACUAA
This 261-nucleotide long non-coding RNA is filed under the name Papio anubis (olive baboon). RNAcentral's name for it is "lncRNA (ENSPANG00000047162.1)". Lineage: Eukaryota; Metazoa; Chordata; Mammalia; Primates; Cercopithecidae. The record is from RNAcentral.